AUACGUAGGGGGCGAGCGUUGUCCGGAGUUAUUGGGCGUAAAGGGCGUGUAGGCGGCCUGUUAAGUCAGGUGUGAAAUUUCAGGGCUUAACCCUGAAACUGCGUUUGAAACUGGCAGGCUUGAGGACAGGAGAGGAAAGUGGAAUUCCCGGUGUAGCGGUGAUAUGCGUAGAUACCGGGAGGAACACCAGUGGCGAAGGCGGCUUUCUGGACUGCACCUGACGCUGAGGCGCGAAAGCCAGGGGAGCGAACGGGAUUAGAUACCCCGGUAGUCCUGGCCGUAAACGAUGGGUACUAGGUGUGGGAGGUAUCGACUCCUUCCGUGCCGGAGUUAACACAAUAAGUACCCCGCCUGGGGAGUACGGCCGCAAGGCUGAA
This 377-nucleotide ribosomal RNA is filed under the name uncultured bacterium. RNAcentral's name for it is "bacterial SSU rRNA". It matches the Rfam family "Bacterial small subunit ribosomal RNA", at positions 523 to 898 of the family's 1533-position model. The record is from RNAcentral.